UACAGAGGUCUCAAGCGUUGUUCGGAUUUAUUGGGCGUAAAGGGUGCGUAGGCGGUGGGGUAAGUUGGGUGUGAAAUCCCGCAGCUUAACUGCGGUUAGCACUCGAUACUGCCUUGCUAGAGCGCUAGAGAGGGGGCUGGAAUUUACGGUGUAGCAGUGAAAUGCGUAGAUAUCGUAAGGAACGCCAGUUGCGAAAGCGAGCCCCUGGAUAGUUUGCUGACGCUGAGGCACGAAAGCUGGGGGAGCAAACGGG
Molecule: ribosomal RNA, 253 nt
Filed under: uncultured bacterium
Lineage: Bacteria
Description: partial 16S ribosomal RNA
Rfam family: Bacterial small subunit ribosomal RNA
Source: RNAcentral